UACGUAGGGUGCAAGCGUUAAUCGGAAUUACUGGGCGCAAAGCGUGCGCAGGCGGUUAUGUAAGACAGAUGUGAAAUGCCCGGGCUUAACCUGGGAACUGCAUUGGUGACUGGCAGGCUUUGAGUGUGGCAGAGGGAGGUAGAAUUCCACGUGUAGCAGUGAAAUGCGUAGAGAUGUGGAGGAAUACCGAUGGCGAAGGCAGCCUCCUGGGCCAACACUGACGCUCAUGCACGAAAGCGUGGGGAGCAAACAGG
This 254-nucleotide ribosomal RNA is filed under the name uncultured bacterium. RNAcentral's name for it is "partial 16S ribosomal RNA". It matches the Rfam family "Bacterial small subunit ribosomal RNA", at positions 524 to 776 of the family's 1533-position model. The record is from RNAcentral.